This 465-nucleotide ribosomal RNA is filed under the name uncultured bacterium. Its description in RNAcentral is "bacterial SSU rRNA". It matches the Rfam family "Bacterial small subunit ribosomal RNA", at positions 338 to 795 of the family's 1533-position model. The record is from RNAcentral.
CCUACGGGUGGCUGCAGUGGGGAAUAUUGGACAAUGGGCGAAAGCCUGAUCCAGCCAUGCCGCGUGUGUGAAGAAGGUCUUCGGAUUGUAAAGCACUUUAAGUUGGGAGGAAGGGCAUUAACCUAAUACGUUAGUGUUUUGACGUUACCGACAGAAUAAGCACCGGCUAACUCUGUGCCAGCAGCCGCGGUAAUACAGAGGGUGCAAGCGUUAAUCGGAAUUACUGGGCGUAAAGCGCGCGUAGGUGGUUUGUUAAGUUGAAUGUGAAAGCCCCGGGCUCAACCUGGGAACUGCAUCCAAAACUGGCAAGCUAGAGUACGGUAGAGGGUGGUGGAAUUUCCUGUGUAGCGGUGAAAUGCGUAGAUAUAGGAAGGAACACCAGUGGCGAAGGCGACCACCUGGACUGAUACUGACACUGAGGUGCGAAAGCGUGGGGAGCAAACAGGAUUAGAUACCCCGGUAGUC